GGUGCCUUGGCGAUAUGGGAACGCAGGCGACUGCAAAUCGUCCAUGGCUAGGUUCGAUUCCAAGAGGCGCCU
RNAcentral lists this transfer RNA (72 nucleotides) under Caldilineaceae bacterium. RNAcentral's name for it is "tRNA-Cys". It matches the Rfam family "tRNA". Rfam says of the family: Transfer RNA (tRNA) molecules are approximately 80 nucleotides in length. Their secondary structure includes four short double-helical elements and three loops (D, anti-codon, and T loops). The record is from RNAcentral. Lineage: Bacteria; Bacillati; Chloroflexota; Caldilineae; Caldilineales; Caldilineaceae.